CUGACAUGACGGGUGCUAUACUGCAGUCGAACGCUUUUUCUUUCACCGGAGCUUGCUCCACCGAAAGAAAAAGAGUGGCGAACGGGUGAGUAACACGUGGGUAACCUGCCCAUCAGAAGGGGAUAACACUUGGAAACAGGUGCUAAUACCGUAUAACACUAUUUUCCGCAUGGAAGAAAGUUGAAAGGCGCUUUUGCGUCACUGAUGGAUGGACCCGCGGUGCAUUAGCUAGUUGGUGAGGUAACGGCUCACCAAGGCCACGAUGCAUAGCCGACCUGAGAGGGUGAUCGGCCACACUGGGACUGAGACACGGCCCAGACUCCUACGGGAGGCAGCAGUAGGGAAUCUUCGGCAAUGGACGAAAGUCUGACCGAGCAACGCCGCGUGAGUGAAGAAGGUUUUCGGAUCGUAAAACUCUGUUGUUAGAGAAGAACAAGGAUGAGAGUAGAACGUUCAUCCCUUGACGGUAUCUAACCAGAAAGCCACGGCUAACUACGUGCCAGCAGCCGCGGUAAUACGUAGGUGGCAAGCGUUGUCCGGAUUUAUUGGGCGUAAAGCGAGCGCAGGCGGUUUCUUAAGUCUGAUGUGAAAGCCCCCGGC
RNAcentral lists this ribosomal RNA (600 nucleotides) under Enterococcus casseliflavus. RNAcentral describes it as "bacterial SSU rRNA". It matches the Rfam family "Bacterial small subunit ribosomal RNA", at positions 36 to 608 of the family's 1533-position model. The record is from RNAcentral. Lineage: Bacteria; Bacillati; Bacillota; Bacilli; Lactobacillales; Enterococcaceae.